RNAcentral lists this long non-coding RNA (28001 nucleotides) under Coffea arabica (coffee). Its description in RNAcentral is "long non-coding RNA (CARA_LNC001541)". Lineage: Eukaryota; Viridiplantae; Streptophyta; Magnoliopsida; Gentianales; Rubiaceae. The record is from RNAcentral.
UUUUUUUUUUUUAUUGUAAUGAUAACAAUUGUAGAUCCUACUUUACCUUAAUUUAAGAGAAAAGAAAAUCGACGGAAAUUUCAUCAAAAAAAGUCAUUGGAAGGUGAUAAUCACAAUUAAUAGGUAAGUUUAAUGGCCUCCCACCGUCCGAUGGCUUGCUUGCAUACUUCAAAAGUUGACUAUCAAUUACCGCCAAACAUCUUAGCUGGCAUACUAAAUUUCAACUUCCUAGGUCAACCUCCCUCGUGAAGUCAACUAUCCACCCAAAGCUUGUCAUCCAAGAUUUUCUACAUCCCAAUAUACAACAGUAAUCUGAUAGCUAAUGAUUCCAAAAUUACUGCUUCAUCUCCUCAAGUUAACUUGUUCAAUAAUGCAGGCUCUUGGUUACCUACUGUUAGUUUUGCUUAUGCAUGGUAUGGCUGUGGAGAAUAGAAACACAAAUAAUAGUUAUUUGGUGAAGGCAAGAGAGAUAAGAGAAGUCCUAUCUUGUCACAAAGUGGCAUCGUCCUACGCUGUUUACGAGCCAUCCAGGGUAGAACCGGGACAAGGAUGGCCGGCUAGUAAACCUCCUCCCCUGCCCAACCCUCCCACGCACAUGGAUGUUCCUGCUGCACCUUGUAUACGUGUUCUACAAGCGCCUCCGCCUCCCAGUUACUAAAGUUAAUCUUCAGCAGUUAUACAUUGACAUAUUUUUUUCUUUCUGAAAAAUGUCAUUGAACUUAAUUGUAAGAAGAUGUCAUUAGAUUUCGCAUACUCUUCACUAUUCUUUCCCUGUUUUGGGCUUUGCAUUUGGAAGUUUAUGUCCUUCCUCCUUGAAAAGAGUACUUGUGCUCGCAAAAUAGAUGAACAAGCUUUUUAUUCUCCUACUAGUGUAAGUGUGUAACUCUUACUUAAGGUUACUUUAAUUUAUUACUACUGCUUCUUUUUUUCUUUUUUUUCCUUCGGAAAAAAGUCUAAUCUUGAUAAGAAUGUUGAAUCGUAUUGAAAUUAUGGACAUUAGAAUCGACUGUCUUGACUUGAUCUGGUUUACAUUUCAUCACAAGAACACUAGUAGUGAACAAACUCAGAUCUAGUUACUUUGUAAUGUUGAAAAUGCCCUCCCAAUUUAAAUCAUUUAUUCCGAUUUUGCAUCAUUCAGUAGCUUCCCAGGUAAUUGAAUUACGAGCCUUUUUUGUACCAAAAUCUAGAAGUGGAAGUUGGCCAGUAAAAUCUUGCCCCUAAAGAUUAGACCACUAGCUGAAUCCACUUGGGUACUUCAUAUGUCGGGUGUGUUUAUCUCUAAUUUACACAUUUUACUAAUUAAUGCUGGCAAAGUUCUAAACAUAUUAGUGAUAGUAGUUAUAAGAGUUCUCAAGAAACUAAGUCUGUGAUUGUAGCAGUUCUUUGGAUGUCUCAUUUUGCAAAUUGCAAUUCUCUCACGAAUCUGGACCCUGCCUGGAGUUGGAGCGGAAACUCCCUAGAUUUUUCCGGGCAUAUAGAUAUAUAAUACAUCUUUUUUUUGUUGAACGAAAUGCACCACAUAACUACGGCUCAGAUGAACCUCGCUUGAUUGCCUCCUGAUUAAUUUUAUCAAGAAAGUACUAAUUUGAAUGUCUUGAAAGUCAUUGUGUUGAUCCGUCUAGUUGAGAAGUAAUUACGCUUGAAACCAUGUGAUCAUGUUCAAAGUCAACUUCUUUCGUUAUCCUAUUUAAACGCAGCAGUGCUUCAGUUUAACAUGCACUCAAUACUGGAUCAUCAAUUUUAUCGAAGUGAUUAUCACUAAUUAAGCAAGAAAUGAAGCUUUCAUCUUCCUUUCUAAUCGCAGUGGUGUUAUUCCUAGUCGUAGUUAAUCUUGCUUCCAUGUGUGAUGCCAGGCGUAUGUGCCCAACGGAUGCCGAGGGAGAUGAUUGCUACGGUAUACCAAGGAGAAACCCAGUCCCCGGCAACCCUCCUCCACCUCCAGUUGUGGUGCCCGUGCCCGUGCCAAAUAACCCUCCUCCUCCGCCGGCGGUGGUAGUACCAGUGCCCAACAACCCCGGUUAUGUCGGUCGCGUGUACCCAUGCCCCCAGCCGUGGAGACCACCUCAAAACCAUUUUCCUUACCCGAGUCGAUACCCAUACCCAUGCAACAAGAUUGUGACUCUGGAAUCUGGAUGGUUUCCUUUAUCCGAGUCUUAUCCAAAGUAUUUCCCAUUAUCGUUAUGUGAGUUUCCUCUUAUUAAUUAGCAGCCAGAUAAUAAAUAACGGCGCAUGUGCAGCCGUACGAACGUUUGGCAGAAUAAAGAAAACCCGGGAAAAAAGAAGCCCAAAAAAAAAAAAAAAAAACUGCCCAAAUAAAGAGUAGUUUUAUGUAUGCUGUGAUCUUGGUUUGUCUGGUCAAUGACGUGUAGUAUGUAAUGGCUUUGAAUUUAAUCUUUGUUUCCUGAUGAUUUGUUAGGAUCUGGUUUUUGCACGAAUAAUUAAGCUUUGUCCACCCUCCCUCAAGAAAUCCAGCAAUACGACCAUGAUAUGCUACAGAAACACCGUAGGCCAAAUGGUUUUGGAAAUCUAUGCAAUGUCACGCAGUAUUCAACUGACAAAAUUAAUGAACUAUAAGUUAUGCAAUGUCGAAGUAAUGGAAAUUUUUUUGAUAAAAAGUAAAUUUUAUUAAUCAGUUGUUAAAAAUUAUUCAGUACAAUUUGAUUUAUAUCAUUGUCCUAAUAGUAGGCUAAACAUGCACUUAAAAAUAAUAGAUUAGAUCUGUAAUUUAACAGAUACAAUAGAUUCGAAAAAUUUUUGAACAAAUCUAAAAUUGAAUUAAUAGAAUAUAAGCUGUGGAAAAGGUAAACGUCUUUGUUGAUUCACAUAUUUUUGGUUUUCCUUAAAGUAACUUGUGCUCAACUACUUACCUAUCAUAAUUCCUAAAUCCUAACUCGAUUGCCGUCCACUCUUUUAACUUUAGUUACCGGCAAUUCUGUAUUGUUCGUCUCGUAACUUCACUGGGAGACAAUACUCUAUUUUCUUUAUUUUGUAACUUAAAACAAGCAAGCAAUAGCAUUGUUGCUUCUUUUUUUUUUUAAUCAUCCUAAAACCCAAAAAAAAAAAAAAAAAAAAGUUCUAAGAGCAUAAUUUAGCUUUAGCAUAAUGUUGGGAUUUCAUUAACUUAAAACAAAUGCCUUUUUUGUCUCCAAAAAUGAAAAAGUUGGCACUUGAGUCGUUGAGCGCCCAACAUCACUAGCAGGAAAAUAAGACGCAAUUUUGAUUUUAGUGAAGAUCGAAUCCUGCUUAAUGCAAGUCUGCAACCGUAAGGAGCUGUCUGGUUCUUGUGUCUAGUGUUGCUCAGUCACAAUCUAAUUAAGAACAAAAGUUUCAUGAACGUUUUUUCAAUCUUGCCGCAUAAAAAAAAGGAAGAAGAAGAAGAAGAAGAAAAGACUAUUGCAUUCUUUCACACCGAAAGAACAAGAAUUGCGGGCCUCUUCUUAAACUUUUACGAAAAUUACAAUUUGGCCUCCAAAAGUUCUGUCUGAAAUUGAGUCCUGUCAACUUGUUUCAACACUAACUUUUUAUUUUUCUUAUUUCAGCCCUAACUUAGGGUGUGUUUGAUAGAACUGGAAUCUAAAAUCUGAAUUCAUUGAAUUAUUGAAUUGUUAAAUAUUAAAUCUAAUAUAUUUGAGUACAUAUCACAUUCAGUGAUAAGUGAAUAGCAUAUCACUUAAUUUUGGGAGCAAGUUUUGUCUGGAAAAUUAGAUGCUAUUUAAUUAAUUCAGAUAUUCAAUUUUGGUUAUUAAACGAUCUGAAUAUGUUAAAAUCUAAAUUCAUUAAAUUUAAGUGCUGAACUGAGCUAUCAAACGGGACCUACUCUCUCCAAUCUUUAAUUUCUAGUCAAACAAUAAUUUUUUAGGCACUUACACUUUGUGGGCUAAAUUAAUUACUCUAAGGUUUGAGGAUUCAAAGCAAAUUCAUUCGCAACACUUGCUCCUAUUCUUUUACUUGAAUUUUUUUUUUCCAAUUUUGACUAUUCAAACAUGUAUAUCAUGUCACUUUCUGUCGUCAUCAUAUGUAUUCCAUAUAUGAUAUGUAUUUGUAGCGAUUUUUGUUUUAGAGAAAUGAGCUCAAGGGUAAAAAGGUAGUACGUCAAAUCUUUUUGCAAAAACAGAGUCCGUGCAAUUGAAGUGCUCUUAUAAAUUCUACUUGACAUAAUGCACCAUCGAGCGUCCACAUUUGGAAGCUUGAAAGGUUAGCUUGCUAAGGUAAGAAAGGCAAAAAAAAAAAAAAAAGAAUAAGGGAAGCAGAUGAAAGGUAAAUGUUAUCGUUUUGACCCAAAAAAAAAAAAGCAGAUGAAAGGUAUAUCAUAUAUGUAAUAGAACCUGGCCGCUAAGGCGCCAACUAUAAUUUCUUGUUCGUAUUGGCAAGGAGAUUGAUGGGUGAAGGUGACCAUAGAGUGCUGAAUAGAUCAGCACAAUUCGCCAAUUUCUUGCUAGCUAAGACAGUAUCUGUACGUGGUUAGUCAAUUUUGUUCUGCAAAUAGGAAGAUCUCAACCAUAGAUCUUGCUUUUAGUAAACACCUGACCUAGUCAAUUACAUCAAUUACUCCGGUACACAUGUUUUUUUGCAUUGAAAACUGGACUUAAUUUCUUGUGCUUGAGAGUUAAGAUUACUUUCUGUCAAGUUCAAUUAUUUUUGUAAGGUGACCAACAAAAUGUCAAGUCUUUCCUUAAUAGGUGGUGCUUGAAUUGGAGUUUUCUACACAAAAAAAAUAUCUUAUGUUUUUAUGAACACGUUUUUUAAUUAUAUUUUUUUCUCAUGUACAUCAAAUUAAUACAAUAUAUCUUUUUUUUAUAUAUAAAAACUCCAAAAAAAUAGCAAUCCAAUAUGACUCUCUAAGUUAGUAAUCCAAUCAAGCAUUUGAUCAGCUUGAAUCUUGAUUUCCUUGAAUGUCUGACUUGGAAUAAGGAAGUGGGAUCAUAAUAAUUUGCAUACAUGUGCCCUGCAAUUAAUUUAGAAAUAAAUUGGGAGGUGAUAUUUGCACUCUUCAAUUAGCUUCUAGCACCCCUUGAAGGCAUGUUAUUUAUUAAGUAAAUUGGAGUGCCCAAAGGCUAAAAGGGAAUGCGAAUAUCAAUUCACAAUACUACUUUGAAUCUUGGAAGUCACUUUCUAAACAUAUAACUAGUAGUAAGGAAACUGCUUCACUCUACGACGCUAGCAGUCUUUGUAUCAGGAGCCACUCUACUCAAUGUGCAUGUUUCCAUCUCAUUUUGAUGUUUCCGGAUGAAUGCAUAUUUCUCCCGACUCUGGACCUUGGAAGUUGGAACCGAAACUUCCCAAAAUUUCCCGGUCUUAUAAAAAAAGUCGAUACAUGCUCUUAUAGAAAUGUAAUGCACCACGUAACGACGGCUCAUAUAAACCUCAUUCCACUGCCUACUCACUAGGAUCAAGAACACAAUUUGCAUGCCUUGAAAGUCGUUAAACUCUGCCUAGUUCCGAAGUAAUUAAGGUUGUAAUUCAUCAUGUGAUUUCAAAGUCAACUUCCUUCAUUGUUCCAUACUUCUAUAUAAACACAGCAAUAGUUCAAUUAGCAUGCACUAGAUACAGAAUUGUCAAUUGAUCGAAGUGAUUAUCACUAAGCAGGCAAUAUGAAGUCUUGUUCUUCUUCCUGUGUGAUUGCAAUGGUGUUUUUCCUGCUUGCAGUUGAUCUUGCUUCUGAUUGUGAAGGCAGGCCUAUCACGUGCCCAGUUGGUGCAUGGGGAGAUGAUUGCACUUACCCAUACCCCGGUGGUUUACCGAGGAGACCACCGGCCACCAACAACCCUACACCAGUUGUGGUGCCUGUGCCCAAUAACCCUACUCCAGUGGUAGUGCCUGUGCCCAACAACCCUAGUCGUGUGGGAGUUCCUGUGCUCCCAUGCCCCCAGCCAUGGAGACCACCUCGAGAAAAUGUUCCCACGGGAGUACGAUUUGCCCGACUCCCAUGUCAUGAUUAAGAAAACUAAUGAUCACCGGAUGCUGGAUAUGGUUUCCUAAAUUUGAGUCUACUGAAGUAUUUCCCUCGAUGCAUUAUGUGGGUUUCCUCCUCUUGUCAGCAGCCAAAUAACAAGGCUACUUGUGCAGCCAAAUAUUUGUCAGAAACCCAAAAAAGAAAAAGAUAAUAGCAAAUAAAGAAUGUGACAAGAGGAGCUGAUUUACCUUGUAAUCUUUGAUUGACAUGAAUAAUAAAAUCUAAUUACUGCGAGUCUCUGAUUUUAUCCUUUGGUUCCUGAUUGUCAGGAACGCUUAUUUUAUUGUUAGCAUGAAUAACAGUUGUCCACUUUCAAAAAAUCCAGUAAUAACCCAAUAUGUUAACGGUUUAGGAAUUGUAGUUACCACGGAUUGAUGGACCCAAAUCAACAAUAACAUAAAUCCAGAGGAACGAUCACAAGAAAUCGAUAUACGAGGCAAAGGUAAUAUUCUUCUAUUGAAAACGAGGCUGCAGCUAAUUCUUACAAAUGAAAAAACCAAACAGCGAGGCUACUACUACAGUACUACUAGCUUCUUAGCAACCCUGCGGCAGUGUGCUACUAAUCGUCUACUACUAACAUUACGGUAUUGGAUCCCAUGUGGCCAAUCUUACUAACCCACAAUGCAAUUUAUUGUAGUAACCAAUAGAUUAAUAACACAUGGCCACUAACUUAACUUAACAAUCCAUAAAAGCUUGGUUUAUACUUUUACAUGAACGAAUUCUCACUUUAUAGAAGUCAAACCAUAAAAGCUUCGUUUAUAUUUCUACGUACAUGGAUGAAUUUUCAAUUUAUACAAGUCUUAAGGAUGAAUCUUAUUUGUACAGUUUUGCAUUCUUUGCCGCCAAAAGAACAAGGAUUGCAUAUAUCUCUAUAAUUACGAACCAUCUUCGUCUAUGGUGGAUCCAGCCGCUCCUUAAGGGUGCGUUUGGAUACACUUUAUUAUUUGCAAAUAAUUAAUCCAGAAAGAAGGCUGCAUGCGAGAGUAUAAAAACGCGUAGUUGACUCACCUACUUCCCAAGUUUACUUCAAUUAAUCCUGCGGAGCCAGCUCAAGUCAAUCAACACCCCCCUUGCUAAAUGAAAUUAGAAUAUUCCAAAUUUGGCCUUUCACCUCCUAUACUCUUAUUUGUUGGAGUAUUUAAUUGAACAAGAAGCUAGGACUCAAGAUUGAAGACUGAAGAGACUCUUUACAGAUUGCAAGUUAAUUCAGCAAUGGGUGCUCUGAUUCCUUACAUACUCCUACUUGUGCUUGUGCAUGGUUUGGCUCUGGAUAGUACAAAUCCAAACAACAACAAGUAUGUGGUUGAAGCAAGAGAGAUCAGAAUGGCGCUGUCUUGUAAUACGGUGGCGGCCGCCGCCGCCGCUCGUUACCAGCCAUCAAGGCUAGAACCAGAAAGAGUGAAUGGAUGGCCGAGUAACCCUUUUCCUCCCCUGCCCAACCGUCGUGUGCACAUGGGAGCUCCUCCGUCACCACCAUGUAUUGGCGUUGUGCCACAGCCGCCACCUCCGCCGCCGCCUGCUUAUUAGUUAAUUAGUGGAUUAGCCAAGUUUCUGCAUUUGUACAUUAGAUUAAGAAACUUCCACGAAAUGACUACAGUAAUGAAAAAGAUUUGAACACGUUCUGCUUAUCCUUCAUCCUUGUUUCUUCUUUUCUAUUUUGCUAGAUUCACAUUUGGUUUUCCAUAGUUGGUUGCUGUCAAAUGUGUUUGAUAAGGAUUUUCGUUUUUACUUCUUGUUUUGACGCAAGAUGACAUUAGGUUGCUCAACGAGCCCAUUCAUUUUCGGAUCAUUUCCUCCUAACGAGGUUCUACGUUUUCAGUUGUACGUUUCUUCGCUUCACUAGGCUUAAAAAUUUUCCUUUCACUAUUUCAAUAUUUUGCUCGUAAAGCAGAUGCAUAUCAAACUUUUACUUUUCCAUCUUAAAUCUUUUUUAUGUCUCUCACAACUGUCUUUGCCCCUGCAAUUAUGUUUGCCAACAAGAAAGCAAUUGAGCGUUGUAUACAACAAUAUCUUAAUACGCAUGUUUCUGAGAUGAUUUUUUUUUCUUUUAAAGGAAAUGCUCGAUAACUACAUACCCUAGUUUGUCAAUUUGAGAGAAAAGAAUAUAUAGCUCUUUUGAAUGAGAAUUAGAAAAAAAAAAUUUAUGUAUGUAAUUCGAGGUGGGAGGAAAAGACCGUUGGUGUCAUUGUCAAGGGGAAAACGAUCAUUUUGAUCCUCAUUUUAGGGUCAUGGUCAAUUUAGUAACUUAGGUGUUAUCACUACUAAUUCAAUCCUCUAUUUCCAUAACAUAAAAUCAAUUGAAAUUUUCAAUGAAAAAUAAAUUAAAAACUUUUCAUAAAAUUAGUCAUGUACAGAGUAUGUGAACAAUUUCAAACAUGUCAAUGAGUCUUAAUUAAAAUCCGUCCAAAAUGCUGCGAGGACAAUGCACUCUCAAUAUGUAGGUAACGUUCCUUCCAAAAAAAAAAAUGUAGGUAACGGAGCUGAUGGUCAACUUAUGAGUAUCGUCUUGUCAAGUAAUUUGCCACGGGGAGCCUUCCUUGAUGGACACGGUGUUCUAGUAAAAGUGGUCAAAUGAUUCAAUUUUUGACAAAAUUGAAGGACAAUUGAGGGCUUAAUCCUAGAAUGUUGGAUAACGUGACCCACCAAAUUAUCACCAGCCAAGAAUUAUGUGCAAAUUCAAAUUGGGAAGUAAAAAAUGUGAUGUAGCAGAAAAAUUAUUAAAAAGGUGUGAUUAAAAAUACCAACAAUAAUUAUGCGCACUAUUAGUUGAUUAAAAUGUAAUUAUUAAUACAAAAUACGCCCCAAUAUACAUGUAGACUUCCUUAUUUUUCUUGGACAUUUUAAACUUUAAACAUUAAAGUAAUGCAUCAUUCAGAAGUUUCCACAAUCAACUUGUAGAAAUAAAAUUCGGAUAACUCUGUGGAAUACCAAAAGAAGGCCAUCAUGUGAACUACAAAAACGCGCAGUUGACUCACCUACUAGUUAGGUUACCGUUUACUUCAAUUCAGUCUGUCCUGCUAAAAUCCAGAACACCAGUCUUGUCUUUUCUACUUGUAUUUGGAAAGAAUGGUAGUGUUUGUGAAGCCUAAAUCAGGCCUUCCACUCUUAUAAAUACAACAGGAAACUGGACUUAAAGAGUCAAGAUCCUGAAGGCUCUUGCAUAUAAGCACAGCAACUUAAUCAGUUUCAGCAAUGAAUAUCGCUCUUCCUUACAUGCUUCUGUUUGUGCUGGUGCUUGGGGUGGCUCUGGACAGCAGAAAUGCAAACAAGAACAAGUACAUGGUCGAAGCAAGAGAGAUCAGAAUGGCCCUAUCUUGCAAAUCGGUGGAAGCCGCAUCCGCCCGUUUCGAGCCAUCAAGGCUAGGACCAGGAGGGAUAAUUGGAUGGCCGAGUAAACUUUUUCCUCCACUGCCCAAUCAUGAAGUGCACAUGGGGGUUCCUCCAUCACCAUGCACAGGUGUUGAGCCACCUCCGCCGCCUUCUAAUUAGUUAGUUAGUGGAGCAGCUAAUUAGGUUUCUGCCUUCGUAAAUGAUUUGUCAACGGUGGGGUGUCAUACAUGUUACACACGUUGUAUGAGUGAGUCUGUUUCCUGUGUAUGACAUUUAAUCUUGUCGGUGUUGGAUGUUUACCAUGAGGAAUGUCCUCUUGUAAUUUUGUGACUUUGUUGGUCGGUUUAUGAUUAGGGUAUGCCCUUUCUAUUUUGUAUUUUUCUUGAGUAUUAAUAAAAUGGGCAAAUUAUACUUUACCUCCUACGGUUUAGUAUUUUAUUACAUAAUCUUCCUAUGAUUUCAAAAAUUAUGCAUAAUCCCUUCAUAUUUUGAAUUAAAGUGUCAAAGUGACGGAAUUUGUAAUCCAUAACGGAGUCAACUAGAAUAUAAAAAAUAUCCUUACGUAAAGUUAAAAAAUUAUUUGUUAACCACAGGGAGUUAUUGUCAUACAUAUUAUGUUUAUAUAUUUUAGUUACUUAAGCCAUUUUAGUUUUUAAAUAAGGAUAAUUUUGACAUUUUAAUAGGUUCCGUUACGAAUGAUCAUUUCCGUCACUUUGACACUUUAAUCCAAACUAUGAGAGAGUUAUAUAUAGUUUUUAAAACUAGAGGGAGGUUAUGUAAAAAUUAGCUUUAUCAUAGGGGGUAAAGUGUAAUUUGCCAAAUAAAAUCUUACCUACCAAAAAAAGUUCUGCCUUUGUACAUUAGACCAAGAAAUUUGCGUUUAUUCAUGGCGGUAAUUUCAAAAGAUUUGACACACAUUCUGCUUAUCCUUCACCAUUCCGUUGUUUGUUGCUCGAUUCACAUGGUGAAGUAGAUCCUGUUCUGAAGAAACUAUGGUCAGGGUCACAAAAAUGAGGAGUAACAAGGACUGUUGGAUACUUGUAAGGAUGGCAACGGGGCGGGGUUGGGGCAGGGGCCCCACCCCCGUCCCUCGCCCUGCUGCCUACAAACUCCCCCCGCCCCCGUCCCCUCCCCCGGCCCCUGCAUCACUUGCCCCGUCCCGCUUCCCCUGCGAGUGCUUCCGCAGGGUUAAUAAAAAUUUGUUAUAUAAUUUUAUUAUAGUUAAAUUUUAGCAAAUAAUCAAGUACUAAAAUAUCAAAAUAUCACCAAAUUAUUAUUCAUUGUAAUUUUACAAUUGAAACUUAUAAAAACAAUCAAACAAAAGUUAUUUGAAUACAAUCCAACAUGAUAAAAUAAAUACAACUAAAGUAGUCAAGUUUUUACUUUUGGCACAAAUACAAUCACUAAUUCAUUAUUGUGCUUGUGUUUUUUUUUGAGAAAAAAAUGUUAUUGUAUUAAGUGUAAUUAGGAAUUUAGUAUAAAUGUAUUAGUAAAUUUAGUAUAAUCAAUUAAUAAUUUGUAUUAGUACACAUAUAUAAUUAUUAGUAUAAUUGAUAAUAUCAAUUAUAUUACAUGUACUAAUAUACAUUAUAUAAUACAUAUAACUAGUACUAUCAUUAUCAUAAGUUUGUAACUAAUUAAAUUAUCUAUUAUAUAUAUACUUAUAUACAUAUAUAUAUUUUAUAUAUUUAUCUUUUUAAAGCGGGUGGCUGGGUGGGGGAUUCUAAGCGGGGGCCCCAUUAGCCCCCCGCGGGCCACUCGCCCCCAUUGUCAUCCUUAGAUACUUGUUACAAUAAUUAAUUACCCCUCUACUCGAUUAUGAUUAUAGCAAUGGUCGAAGAAACUAAUUUCAUAUUAUUUGAUGCUUUAUUUUGAUUCGUACAGUAACAUCUCAAAAAACAGAUAGUAUAUCACUAGAAUUUGCAGAGAUUGCAAGGAAUUCAAGUACAUCAGUAAAUUAACUCCACGCUUUACAAGUUAUUUGCUUGAAAGAUGAUGGGGUUUAAGUCAAUGAUGCCCCUAACAGACAGGGUAUCAAUAAUCAAACAACUAAUUAGAUCCUAGCUAGAUUUAAGAACAAAUAAAAAUCCUAGCAGUAUUAAGAAAUUAAGAACUUCUGGUCGGUCUUGGCUAGAAAGCAACGUGUGAAUGUUAUCGUACACAGAAGACAAUGAAAGAUAGAUUUGUAAGUUUUCAAGUCUCACAACUCUCAAAAAGACUACUGCUACGCUUCCCCUUCUUUUAUGUACUUGUGAUUAUAGAUGAACUAACUACCUGAUAAGAUACCAACGGGUAUUAUGGGCAUUUUUCGAUUGGAGGAGUCUGAGCUAACCCUUUUUCCGAAUACUGAUUAUGCUGCUGCUGGGAGUAACCGGACUUGCUCGUAAUAAUUACAACGCCAGUCGAAUUAGUUUCGGAGGUGAUUUCUAUACUUCUGGAGGGAAAAGCUUCCACACCUAGACGUGUCAACAAGGAUAGCACUUGCACACCAUAAUCAGAUUUCAAUGUAAGAUGCCUUCCUUCGGUCCUCGCGGGUUGCAAUAGCGUCAUGGUUGCGGUUGUUCCACAUUCGUCACUGCAUAUCGGUUGAAUAUCAGGUAAUACGCAUAUUAUAGCAUAUAAAAAUGUUCAAAAAAUUUGAAAAAAAUUACUAAAAUUAGAAAAUACCAAAAAAUGUACAAUCUAAAAAAAUAUCCUAGUCGACUCUGAGUUGACUCGGAUAUAUUAGUCAAUAUCACGUAUCACGGAUUCAAAUCGACCAAUAUCGGCCGAGUUAGAGCGAGUUGCCGCGGAUAUAGAGUAUUAUCCGCGAUUCAAGAAUCGGUAUCGUAUCGGUCACUUCAGUUCCAGUUACGAUUUGGCCGAGUCGUAUUAGAAUCUGCCGAUAUUGUUAACCAUGAUUGGGUGAUAAAAGUACCGGAUGAGCAGGUGAGAAUCAUAAGAUUAACCUCCAAAAUUUAAUCUUACAGGAGAUUGUAGUAUGUAGGAUCAAUGAACUCAAUUUGCAUGGAUAAUUGAGUUCAAUCAAUAUAAUUAUGUAUCAAGAAAUUCGCUCAAUCAAUCAAGAAAGAUGAUAAAGCUGAGACAACUUUCAAGUGCUUGUGCGGUGUAGUUGAACUGCUCCAAGUACAUUAGCAGAGACGAGAAUAUCACUAGAUCCCUUGUGCACUAGAAACAUCUAUUUCAGCUUUCUAUAUCAAAAAUAGAAAAAAGGAAAAUGUUGUACAGUUCCUACAAAGCAGUAUUUUCUACGAGAAGACGACUAUUUUAGAUCCUUUGCCAGUACUCCAUGCCACUUCACGAACUAAUAACUUCAUCUAUGUGAUGAAAACUGAAAAAAAAAAAAAAAAAAAAAACAGUCCUGCAGUGGCCAAUCGGCAAGUUGCCCACAAGGAGGAUACCAAAUACAGAUGAACCAUCAAAACCUGCGGGAUAGGGUAUGGCAUGCCUGGUCCAGGAACUAACACCACCAUCUUGGUAACUGUCCAGUGUAUAAAUGAAUAAGGAUUCAGGAGGAUUCUCCAUACCAGGAACAAACAGGGCCAAGCGUCCCCUGGUUCGUGCAAUAUUCCACGCAUAGCGACUGCGGCAGAACAUGGCUUCCUGCAGUGGAACUUUGGCUUGCAUCGUUCGUACAAGAACCAUUUUGGGUAGCUCCCAACCCCUUGCUAAAUUCCCGACUUUCAUCCUCCCUGCCCGAAGACUCUGAAAUCAACAGAGUUGUCUCCUUUAUGCAAGAACUCUCCCGCUACCCAAAUACAAGAACUCUGUUCCUCCCAAAACAACAAAUAACCAAGAAACUACACCAAAACAACAACCAAUGAACAGAUAAAAAGAACACCACCACAACCAUAACCCAAAGAAGCGCACUACCCAUGCCAAGAAUAAAACGCUAAGUUGAUAUGCCAAAAUACCAAGAUACAGAGAAAAAUCCAAGAACUUAGAGCUUCUAUUAUGACGUGUACAAGAAAACGAACAAAAGUAGCGCAUACCAUUUUAGAUACUUUUGAGUCGGUAUAGCUCCCUUUGCCGCCAUAUCUCGUGUUCAUUUAUAGAUUUCCAGUACUUUUUUUAUUAUGUAAAUUCCUGAUGCAAGAAGACAGUGAAGAUCUUUGAACCAAACCCCAGAGAAUUGAUGAAUAAUGGAGAACAAUUCUCGAGGUAGAAUGGUGAAUUGUAUCGAAAUGAAUUAGAGAGAAUACAGAGAUACUGUGAAAGAGUCAACAAGUCAAAAACUGACUAAUUUCCUAUUCACGAUUCCUUCUCGGUAGCUGUCCAAUUGGUAAUUGUUUUUGCCGCCUCAGCACAAUUAGUUGUUAACUAACAAAUACAGAAACGUAGCUGCUUAUGUAGCCAACUACUAAUCAAGAUUAAUCAUCCUAUUCCACGACCUCCCUGCCUCAUCAGAUGGUUCUACUUCUUGAUGCAUCAUCAAUUCCUUGCGUUUGUGAUGGUUCUGGGAGAAGGGUGUGGUGUCUGUGGCGACCAGAGCCAACAAAUAGCAGAUAAGGAGAAAGGUUAGGAGGAACAUGGAGUUCAGAGAAUUAUUUUGCUAAUUUCCAGGUCAGACAAGGAUGCCACGUCGUUUUGCACGUUGGAGUUGGUCCUUGCCUCCUUGGCUUUGUACUAUCUGCUAAUCAGCCUUUUUACUUUUCAACUAUUUGGCGGUAGGGAAAACAUAUAGAGUCACUUGCAUAUGGAGAGGUCUUUUCAAAGUUCAACUAACAUAAAGAAGUAAAAAGAUGCCAGCACAAACUAAUUCUCCAUAUAACUUACAAAACUUUUAGUGCCAUUUUUACCUCUGCAAUAAGUACAGAAAAAUAUUUAAUCCUAUAGUAAAAGAAAAGGAAUGAGUAUUUGAAAGAUGCCUAAAUUUUUGUCCCCUGCCCAGACAUGCUCAUGCUUACGAAGGACCAGAAGCACUCUCGGAUUUAGUGGUGGAGUUCAUCGUACCCACCAACUUCCGAAAUUUGAGUUCAUGUUUGGAAAUUGCCAAUUUUAUAUUUUAACAUGAAUGUGCGAAGGUUCAAAUGGGUGUUCCAAUGGCCACUUGAGUACCAUCUUCUUCUAUUUAGAUAAGAUAAUACAUCUUAGAGAAGAUUUAAUCCAACGCUAAAAGAAGCUGGAAUGAAUAUUUAAAUCAUACUUAAAAAAAAGUUCAGUCCCUGUCUAGCCAUAUUCAUUGAUGACGCCAAGGACAAGAAGAAGAUGUACUUUCGGAUGCGCCGAGGAGCUCCUCCAAAUAGUCAGUGCCUAAAUCUUCCAAAACCAAUACAUUAUUAUUAUUAUCAUCAUCCAAGCCCAUCAAAACUUGACUUCUCUUUUUGCUCAGUGCAUUUCUCCUGUUCAUGGAGUGUCGUUUCUUCAUCACUAAAACCGGAGAGCAACCCUCUUCAAAACCAUACUGCAUCUGCUUCAACGACUCGUAAACUACCUCUACCGGAAAGUUAAGAACCGCCGCGUGGCCGCGCAAUGCAAAUGCAGCUUGAUCAUAGACUAAAGCUGCUUCUUCGGCAGUGUCAAACGUUCCUAUCCACACUCUAACGCCGUUUCUAGUAGAAUCCCUGAUCUCAGCUGCAUACUUCCCCCAUGGCCGCCUGCGAACGCCUCUAUAGCUAACUUGAUUCAUUGGCUCGUCAUAGUCAUUUUGUUGAGCACAUUCCUCUUCCUCCUUGAUACGGCUGGAAGAUGGUGCGUCCAUGGAGUUUCCGCUACCUGCAGCUUCUGAUAUGACUCGAGCAAGAAGCAUUUCCUGAGAGUCAUUCUCGUUAAAAGGAAGACUGGACUGACAAUGCUGGGAAUUGUAGCAGUACAUGCUUGAUGAAGCUGAGCUUUCGGGAGGGAAUUCAGCGAAAGAAUGCUGCGGAAAUGAUGAAUAAUCCAUGAAUGAGUUCAAAUUGUUAAGGUUUACGACUGAACCACGAUAGAUAAUGCGAUUAGAACUGAAAAUCAAAGACGGGGUUUAUCCGUUAUAUAUAGGUACGAGGCACACGAACGGGAGGAAUUAAAAUAGCUUAUCGGUGACAUUGACAACAAUAAUUUGAUUGAUACACUUGGAAUUGUUUUAACCCAACCAAAUUGUGGUCUUUGUUUCGGCCACAAAAAAAAAAAAAAAAAUCUGGUCUUUGUCCCAUUUGAGGGGUAGGGAGUGGGACCUGAAAGACUUUGCUAUGGUCUAGGGAGAAAACUGGAGAUCAACGGACACGUGAGUCAAACGACUCGGUGGACUUGGCGGCCAGAUCAGAUGAGAAUUCUGUGACGUCAUUGUUGAUGAUAUAUUUGGCAACUAUUAAUCUAUUAUAGCAACGCAAUCAUCACAAUUCCUAUUCCGGUCCACUUGGCACUUUGUUGCAGGGUCAAUCACAAAUUUUGUAUCAGCAUAGGAGAAUGUAUUGCUGACCAAGUGGGCCUAUUUAAUCCAAAGUCUUUUACGCCUCAGUCAAAGUGGUUAACAAUUACUCCAUAUGUUAUUUUGAAUGAAUUAGGAUUUUUUUUUUCCCAAUGAUAACGUACCUAUAGUCUAAUCUAUGGAAGGGAAGUUUAAAGAUAUUGUAUAAAGGGUUAACAGGUAUACAGAACGGAUUAGACUAAAGAAAUAUUCUGACACCUUAUUUAGAUUUUUUUCAUUACAGGUGAGUUUGAAUAUAUAUAUAUAUAUAUAUAUAUAUAUAUAUAUAUAUAUAUAUAUAUAUAUAUAUAUAUAAUGAAUUCAGAUCUUAACAGUGAGGUGGAGCAUGCUUUUAACGUGCAAUUCCUUAGCUUUAAUGGCUGUAUUUAUUCGUGACUUUCGCUGGCAAAAAAUGUGUACAAAGAAAGUGUGAAACCGACUUAAUUAAUUAAAACGCUGUUAAUAACUUUCCCUUCAUCUACUUUUACCCUAAUCUUGUGUCUCAUCUUUGUUGAUCAGUUACAAGUGGAUUUCCCCAUAACACUAGUAUAAUUCUCUUCUGUAAAGAUUCUAGCCAGUUAGUGUAACAUAUAUGUAUGUUUUCUAUAUGUAAUUGCAAGUAAGUUCCAUUUGUCACAAUGUUUUAACUCUUGAGCCUCUAAUUAAGAAGCGCAUUAACUAUACUAAUCUUUGUUCUUGGUUGUCAUUUUAGGAGUUUAAUUGACGUACGUUCAAAUGAUUUUUUUUUUCAAAAAAAAGUGUUUAUAAGUAAUUUUCCUACACUCUAUACACUUGAGUGUACGAUCGUUGAUUCAAGGUACAUCACUUCCCAUAAAUUAAUGCGUGAAACAAACUCUAUACAAUACUGACCCUCCAAAGAGGGGAUUAGUUAAUUGUACCUAAGAUGAUUGACAUGUUAGGAGUACCUUUUGGAGUGAGUGUAGUUAAUAAGGAAAAACACUUUUUUCUUUUCCAAGUUGGAAAUGAAAGGAAAGAUUGGUGGCUACAAACUAACACUGUCAAGAUCUGAAUUCAUUAAAUAUAUAUUGAUAAAAUGGACAAGCAGAUGAAACUAACCUUGAAGCUCUAAAUUAUAUUAAAACAGAGACAUUAGAUUCGAUUAUUGGCAACAUUUCACUAGAAUAGAUCUGUGCUUGAAGGUCAAGACGGCUACACAAUUGCCACAUUUUUUUGGCUUCUCAACGUUAUUAUUGUGGAGUGUUGAAGAUCCACCGUUCUUACUUUUAAAAAAUAUGUUAGACGCUUUUGACUACCUUUUGGAUUUUUAGGAAUGUGUUUUGAACCAGUGUAAGAUGAGAAAUUGACAUUUUGUACAUUGGCCCCAAGGCCAAACAUUCGUAUAUAUAAUCUGACCACAUCAACACGAGAUGAAUAGAUCGGGUAGUCUAUCAUUUUCGGUGUCCUGAGUCCCCCGAUAGUUUCAAGUUGACUUUAGAUAAAAUCGUUCCUUAGAACUUCUUAAAUAGCAGCCUGCCUUUACAGGUCAGCAGUGAGGAAACGUGAUUACGUCCGUAGAUGUGUUCAAAUCCUUGGGGCUAUAAAACUUCAAUAACAUUUGGAUUUCUGCUGUGGGUUUGUAAUCUCCCGCGGCGUUUGGCUGAUACAAAAUGAAAUUUUUGCACUACAUGAGAAAAGUAAUGUUAGAAAAUUCAAUAUUCUAAUAUUUGACAGCUGUUUGAACGGAAAAGGAAUUCGAAGCUUGUAGAACCUGGAAUUAAUAUGCAGCUUAGUGCCUUAGUCAGCAAACUAUAAAAUAAAAUAAGUAACGAAAAAAAGAGGGCUCCAGGAGGAAUUGCUGUGCCACCAGAUAUUGUAGCCUUAGAACAGAUAGCAAUUAAAAAUUCUGGAUAAUCGAAAUGUUUUUUUUUUUUUUAAAGUAAGACAAUAAUCGAGGUGUUUUCAAUAUUGAAAUGAUUUGUAAAGAAUAUAUGCACAAUUUUAGCUCAAAUGAAUUGACAACUAUAUAUAAGUACUCUAAGUAAAACUAAUUUGAGGGUUGAUUGGAUUGGUAUAUAUUAUAAUAAAAAAUUCCAAAUUUAGAUGAUUUUUAAAAUUUGGAAGAUAGUACAAAUUGAAAUUUUGAGGUGCGAAGUGAUAUUUACAAGAACAACAAAGAGGAUAAAAAAUUAAAGAAAAACUUAUACUAAGCGACGUACGUGCAACUCCUCAAGCACAGAAACAAAUUAAAGAAUAUCUCAUCUCCUUGAUUAAUUUUAGAGAUUGCUAUCUUUGUGUUUAUUAUUUAGAAAUGCCGGCCAUGAUUUGAAACCUACAGUACUUAUCAAAGCUGCACAGAGGUCGGUGAAACGAUUAAUAAACCUCAAACUUAAUUAUAGCUAGUCGUCCAUGUGUGGAAUUCCUUUCUCGUGCAAAAUUUUGCAGAUGGAAAAAGCCAAAAGGGAAAAACAAAAAAAAAGAGAAGAAAUUAAGAAUUCUUUUAGAUACUUUACGAGAGUGAGUAUACAUGCGGUGCAUGAACCUGUUAUCUUCAUGCAGACGAGGCUCUGUUGCUGCAUCAAUCUUCUCACAUUUUUUCCUCAAUGGUGUCUUGAGCAAUAUUUGACUCGUGGACCCCCUGGUCACUUUCAAUGGAAAAAUACAUGACUGAUUUUGUUCAUUUACAAAGUCUAGUUUAAAUGUGUUGAUACAUUAUUAUGCUCCAAAAAAAAAAAAUAACUUAAUAUGAAAAACAAAUCCCACUCCUCUGGUAAACAAAUUACGCACGGAUGAUGUAGCUGGUCAUUUUUGGUUUGAUAAUUAUCAUCAUAUAAAAUUUCGACCGUAUUUAUGUGAUUGUAAAAUGGUAAUUAAACAGGUGCAAAAAAGUGACACAACACCUACUGGUUUAAUUACUCCAUUUACCGAAUAUUCUGUCCAGUUAAGUGAAAUUAAAAUUAACUGGUGCAUGCAUAACUAGUUAGUUAUUGGAAGUUAUUAUGACACAAGCAAUAUAUAUCCAACAGAAUUUCCAAACAUCUCCAAUAUCAUCUCAUAAACCGGAUGUUUUAUGUAAUCAGCCAACUUACGUUUACGUAGAUUGAUCGAUUAGCUAAAAGUGCCAAAAUGAAACAAAGGAGUUUCAAUAUUGAUGGGAUCAUCUCUCUCUCUCAUGGGAAUUAGUGGUCAAGGGAUGAUUGCAGCCAUCGACAUUCAUCAUUCUUCAAGAGACGUUUCCAAAGAAAGUCUUUGGAACCCUUUGAUUUCUUGAGUGGGUCAAAAGGAAAAAGGGGAAGUCUACCAAGUUCCUAUCCCCUCUUCAUGAGUCUUGCCAUGCUUCAAACCUCUGCUCAAAAAAGUUUUGGUCAAAGAUUUCAGCAAUAAAGUAGAUUAAAAGGCAAUCGGAGCUUUGAAUUCACACUUCGUGCUCAACACACGUUUGGAAAUUUUUUUACAUUUUUCUGUAAAAAUAUUUUUCGAUCGCAUUUUUUCUUCAUAUAUAUUAAAUCGUUACAGUAAAUUUUUCUCAAAAAACUCUAAAGAAAUAGUAAUCCAAAUGGUAUGGCGCUAUCUAUAGUAUAUUAUGCCUUUUUACCUCAACUAUAAUUCCCAACCCGGUAAAAGUAAAAUGAUUUAAUUCCGGUGAUUUUCUUGCUCUUAUUGCUUUACAGAAGAUGCUCCGUAAUUUUGGUUUUAACUCUAAAGUUAAAGCUUCAAGAAAAAAGAUAUAUUGCGGAGAAGCAUUGAUGUUAUGUAAAUCAUCACAUUAUACCAAUCAGGAUUCAGGAAAGAAGAAAAUCUCUGGUGCUGCUGCUACAGCCUAAAGGGCCUCAAUGAGCAAUUUCCUCUUUGCUAUAAAUAGUACAAUGACGAAUUCUUAUAAAUAAACCGAAAAAGAGAAAGGACAAAUAUGAUACUGUUUUGGUCAACUUUCGGUCAUAUCAGGGGGAGUUAAGUAUAAGCAUUGGGAUUAUAAGAUCUUGCUAGUUGGGGUUAAUGCAACGUACAUUACCAAAUACGGUCAAGCAGAAUUAAACCUCUGUUUAGGACCAAUAAUAAAAUUUUUUAAAAAAUGGAUAUAUUUGAACGAUCAUUUUGGUCCACCUAAACGAAGAAUCAAGGUUCCCUAGACUAGAACCAUCACAAUGAUUAAGAAUACAAACCUUUCAACUUCAUGGAUGAUGAGCGAAUGGUAUCAAGUCUUGUCGUGUUUAUGUAACAUAGCUAGAGGUGGCAAAAUGGGCGGGAUGACGAGAUUUGCUUGUGUUCGAAAUGGAACCGAAUCAUAUGGGUUUGGGGCUAAUCUUACCCAUAUGUGUUUUGGAACUAAUUUGGGCGGGAUCACUUUGGGAUGGGUUUAGAUUGAUCCCGCCCAAUACCCAAAUCUAUUUUCUAUAUUUUUUUCCUUUAAUUCUUUUUUAUUUUUUAUAUAACUUUUAUAUUUUUAUUUAUUAAAUUUCUUUUGAUCUUAUCAUGAAUUUAUAUUUUUCUGAAUUCAUUUACACUCUAGAACGAUCAAUAGUUACUUUAAAAAGACAUAACAUUUUGGUAAGAAUGAACAUAUCUUCUCCCUGGAUUAAACCAAAAAUUGGAUUAACAAAUAAAGGAAAAGAUAGAUAUAUAGUCAUAUUCCAAUCUUACCCAUAAUGUUGUCUGACACAAGGACUAGAAAUAGGAUUUUUUAACACCAAAUUCAUUCUUACUGACAUUCUUAAAAUUUCCAAAAUUUGAUACAAAAGAAAUUCACAUUAAAUGCUAAAUAAAGCUAGCACAAAAACAAAGAAACUAAUUAAAAAUUGAUAACAGGGUUGCAUAUAUAAAUCUAUGUAGAUAGUUCAACAAUUAGCAUAAAAUCAACAUAAAGGGUGCCAACAAUUGUUAGUAAAGCAUUGACUCUUGUAGACACCAAAAUUUUACCAACUCAUUUUAUUUUUAUUGUUAUCUUUAUUUUUUUUAAGUUGUUUAAAUGAAAUCAUUUUCACUUAAUUGGUUUUCUUUCGUAGGAAAGUGAAGAACGAAAGAAAAUGGAAGUGAAAAAAAUCAGAUUUUUGCAAAAACAAAUCAAAGAUGAAUUUUUGGAUAAAUGAAAUUUUUUGGAAAGAUAUUUGGGCCCAAUGGGUAUCCAAGUAUUUCCCAACAUUUCCCAUCAAAUAAUGGGUACAAUUGGGAUGCAUCUCAUUUUAAAUCCAGUAUCAAAUUACAAUACCCAUCCUGCCAAAAGUCCUUUUAGGCAUGGGUAAUCCAUUGGAAUUUGGGACAAAUUGCCACCUCUAAACAUAGCUAAUGCUUCUUGUGAUUACAUACCACCCGUUUGGUUUGCCCAAGGAAUGGCAAUGACUAUAGCUCUUCAAUGGUAAUGAUUUACGAGGAAAUUCUUCACGUGAAAACUAAUGUUUGGUAGCAGUAAUUAUUGUGGUUAGGGUUGCAAACGAAUCAAACUACUCGUGAACCGAUCAUGAGCGGUUCAAGUCUGAAUUUCACUCGAGAUCGAUCAAUAUCGAACUCGAGUUGACCAAGUCGAACUCGACUUAAAAAAUACUAAAUUCGUUAACUCGCGUGCCGGCUCGAGUUUGAUUAUAUAUAUAUAUGUGUUAUUUUAAUAGUAAAAUUACAUAUAUAUCCCUAAUAUUUUAUUAUUUGUUAAGAAAAAUUAUUAUUUUAUUUAUUUUUAAAAAUAAAAUAAUUAAUUUUUUAUUUUUUUAAGCUCGAACUCAAGUUUGACAUUUUGAUCUCGUCAAGUUCGAGUUUGAGUUCGAGUUUCGUAAAAUUAUAUUGAAACUCGGCUCGAUUAGGUUGAAUCUCGUUUACACCCCUAGUUGUGGUAUAGGAAUCAACCUCUUUUUAAUUAAUUUUUCAUGCAUUAUGUUCUGUUUUGUCACCAAAAACAUUCGGUGCGGUUGUCGAAGAAAAUAGUAACAAAGUUCAUGACUGUACCUUAAAUUUCAUUUUAAGUUGCUCAAAUUUCAUCUCAAGUCUCUUGCUUUAUAACAGAAUCAACCAAAAAAAAAAACCCAAGAGAUGAGGGCCAAAAUCGUUACAAAUGCCUAAAUCUAUUGAAGUUUGGGAUUCAAAUUUCAUGAUUUAUAAGUAAAUCAACAAAAAAAUAACAAAUGAGAGCCAAAAACAACCAUACAUAUUUUAGAUCCGCCAAAAUUUGUCUAUGAAUCCCAAGAAAAAAGAAAUCCGUCAUUACAACAGCACGACCUCUGUCUAGACUAAAUUGAGAGCAAUGCAAAAAAAAAAAAAAAAAAGAGUAAUAUGUUGUGGAGGGAGAAAGGAGACGUAUACAUCGAUGAAGAUGCAAUUAGAAGAAGCAAAACAAGGGGAUGAAGAUGAAAAAUUUAAAAAAAAAAAAAAAAAAAAGGGUUGCAGAAUGAGAAAGGCCUCAAGCCUGCCACACUUUUUACUUAUUUGCGCGUUCAUUCCACUAUCACUACCAGGCUUUGUGCAUUGAGUACCCAGGCCCAAACAAAAGCAGAGCAGAUUAGCAAUCACCUGUAACUCUUAAGGCGGACCGAGUUUAAACACUUAAGAAGCCCAACACAUACUCCCUCAGGUCCAUGGGUUCCCUGAUCCAUCAUUCGUUUAGCCAAGAAUUUGCAUAUUACUACUACUUUUUAAUUCCCGGAAAACCCCAACUUCAUUGGGUUCAAUUUGAGUAUCUCGUCGUCAAGUGUUUAAGAAAAAUUUUUGACCAAAAAAAAAUAUCAAGCAAUAAUUGACAUUAUAAAUGCGGACAUUAACAUAUAAAAUUAAAUUCUAUAUUCAACCGCAGCAGACUCUUGCUAAUUGAAUGGCAUCUCUUGAAUGGUUGAUAAGAUUGAAAGACUAAUCAAAUGAUUCAAACACAAGUUAAGCUUGUUCUUCAACUAAUCAAAUUAAACAUUUAAAAUUAUUAGUAAUUUGUGUAAGAAAAGUUUCAAUUUAGCAAAACUUGACGACGUAAUUACAUUAAAAUUUAUAAAUCUUACAUAUAAAAAACUCGAGCUACUCUAAAUCGACUGGAUGGAGCUGGUUACAGGAAAAAUCUGUUUUUGCACCUGCACAUUCUAUUAUUGGAAACGAAGGAAAAAAAAAUGGAAAAGAAAAGGGGAAAUUCAUAAAUAAGGGUGAGUAAUAAAUCUCUUGGGAAGUGGACGUUGUCACCUUCAAAAAACCUCUCAAAAGUCAUCCGAAAUCAGAUAAGGUUUCGCCUUUCUUCUUCCUCUCCUCCCUUCUCCCAACUCCUUACCUCUUCCCUCCACAGCAGAACCAGCCGAGGCAAAUGCUCUCUCUGACCAUGAUAAACACUGCAAAACCCCUCUCCCUAUCCACCCCAUUUCUCCCCAGUCUGCUCAACCCUCACAAGCUUCUCCCACCCCUUCCUCGCUCCAAACAUCCUAACUCUGUCGUUGCUCUCAUUAUUCCCCCAAAAUCCUCCGCCGCACAACAGCAACAGCUCUACCAACCCUUCAGACCUCCUCCUUCCCCACUUCCCCCUCAAUACCGCAAUCUCGACACCAACGGCCGCCUUGAGAUCCUCUCCAACCGCCUCGGUCUCUGGUUUGAGUACGCCCCUUUAAUCUCUGCCUUAUUUCAAGAAGGAUUCACCCCUCCAACUCUCGAAGAGAUCACCGGAAUCUCCGGGGUGGAGCAGAACAGGCUUGUUGUGGCAGCUCAAGUACGUGAGUCUUUAGUUCAAUCGGAAAUAGACCCUGACAUCUUAUCGUUUUUUGAUACUGGUGGGGCUGAAUUGUUGUAUGAAAUAAGGCUGUUGAGUGCUUCCCAGCGUGCUUCGGCGGCCAAAUAUUUAGUUUUGAACAAAUUUGAUGCGAGAAUGACUCUAGAGCUGGCCAGGGCCAUAAAGGAUAAGCCGAGGAGGAAAGGCGAAAAGGGUUGGGAGAGUUUUGAUGGUGAUCUUCCUGGGGAUUGUUUGGCAUUCAUGUAUUUUAGGCAGGCACAGGAGCAUAGGACUGCGUCGUCCCCGGAAUUGUCGAGAAGUGCGUUGGAGAGGGCUCUGCAGGCCGUGGAAUCUGAAAAUGGGAGAGAAAGGGUGUUGGAGGAGCUUGAGGGGAAGAAAGAUGGGGAGGACAAGGAUAAAGUAGGCGCAGCUGCUGAUAGAGUCGUGGUGCCUGUUGUGAGGAUGCAGAUUGGGGAGGUUGCUGAGUCUAGCGUAGUGGCGGUUUUGCCAGUUUGUAGAGCAGAGGAGAGGGAAGUUAAGGUGGAGGAGGCGCCGUGGGAGUGCGCAGGUGUAGGGGAUUUCGGAGUAGUGGAGGCAGAGAAAGGGUGGAGUAGGUGGGUGGUGUUACCGGGGUGGGAGCCGGUGGCUGGUUUAAAGAGAGGGGGAGUGGCCGUGGCAUUUAAGAACGCGAGGGUGUUGCCGUGGAGAGCGAAGAAGUGGAACAGAGGGGAGGCAAUUCUGGUGGUGGCUGAUAGAGGGAGGAAAGGGGUAGUGACUGAUGAUAAUUUUUACUUGGUGGUUGGUGGAGGGAAUGGCAGUGUUGGGGAGGGGUUGAAGGUUGAGAGAGGAUUGGAAUUGAAGGAAAUCGGUGUAAAGGAGAGUUUAGGUACUGUAGUUUUGGUGGUUAGACCGCCAAGAGAAGAGUACGAUGACCAACUAAGUGAUGAAGAUUAGGAAUAAGACACAGGGUUACAGUAGAUAAAAAGAUUGUCAAGCUGGAGGUUUCCAUUAGUCUACCGGAGGAACAAGAUCACACUGCACAUAUCAUAUUCAUCCUAUUCAAGUCAGAAAUGUGCUUAUAAUUUGUGUUGCCUCGCUGAUGGUGGAGGCCGCUGCUUCAAGCUGGUAGCAUUUAUUACACUUUUUCCUACUUAGAGAGUAUUCUGAAGUCAGUGUAAGAAGGUGCAAGCUUGAAAUGACUAAGUUGCCAACUUGCCAUAUGCAGAAGAAUUACGCAACACAUGCCAAAGGAGGAAAUAAAGCGAGGAAGAGAUUUGGUUUUUGCUUCUAGCUCGUAGGGAAUACAUACUAUUAUAGCAUUGUCCAUUGUUAAUGGUUGGCUUCAUGGUGUUCACAUCUUGCUUUUGUCAUCUGAAGCCGCUACUUCCAGUCCUGUCUUUUUUUUUUUUUGAAAAAAAAGAGGACUCUUUGAUGCACACUUCAGCAUUAAUCUUAAAGUCUGGAAUAGGAUACAGAAAAUUGAGAGAUUCACCCAUAGUAAAAGAUGGGAGCAGAUUAGGAGAAUGAUGACACAUCAGAGAUCUAAUAACCCUAGGAACUGGUUAUGCAAACAUUAUUAUGCUUACUUUUCUGCACUAGACUUUCAUUUGUUGAGCUAGUUUUUCCCCCGGUUUCUGAAGCAAUAUUUUAAAAAGCUACUACUCAUUCGACUGCACCGACUUUCACUGGAUCUAGACGGUCAUUGCCCUUUUACUAGCUUUCUGCUGUUGACACAGCUGAUGGCUACCGGUCUUUCAUUUCCAGUUCAUAUCAAAUACUUUGUGUGCAAUAAACAUCAAUUCAUGCUGUGGAAAGUUUUGUUAAAACUCUCAAGUAGCUAAUCAUCUUAUUAGUCAUUUCUGGGUCGUAAGCAAGUUUCAUGUGAGAAAAUUAGGAGCACGCUCAGAAUCAUUUGAACCUUCCCAUCUUCACUAUAAUCUUCCAUCUCCCUCCUCGUGUGUUAUGCUGCUUUCCUCUGGCUGCAACAACAAUUUUCUACUUCCCUCUCCCUCCAGUGCUCAUAACGUAUGAUGGUGCCACAUUAUGUGCAAUUUGAGAGAUGAAUGAAGCAUGCAGAUAUGAUUAGCUAUUCAAUGAACUCAAUCAAAGAAAAGAACUUAAAAUGAAUAUGAUACCGGUUGUAGGGCUACCAAACUGAGCUGAUUUUUCAGCAAACAAGCCUCUAUUAUUACUGCAAGAACACUUUAGGCCAACUAUACCACUUAAAACCAUCCUUUACAAGAAAUUGUUCCUCCCAGGUAACUACAAAGCACUAAUCAUCUAACAAGAACAGAGCAAAAUAUUUUAGUUUCAUUCUCCUGCAAAUCUACUUUUGCCUACCUUACUGUUCUUUCAUUUCACCACAAUCUUCUAUUACAACAGCUGAAGAAGUCUUUCCACUGGCUGAGCCCACCUUCUCCAUUGCCUCAACCACAUUAUAACCCUCCACAACCUGCCCAAACACCACAUGCUUAUUAUCAAGCCAAGGUGUGCUAACAGUAGUGAUAAAGAAUUGAGAUCCAUUAGUAUUUGGUCCAGCAUUUGCCAUCGAAAGAAGGCCAGGUUGGAUGUGCUUCUUUUGGAAAUUUUCAUCAGCAAAUUUCAUUCCAUAGAUAGAUUCUCCUCCUGUCCCAUUUCCCCUAGUGAAGUCUCCACCUUGACACAUAAAGUUUGGAAUGAUGCGGUGAAAGGUUGAGCCCUUGUAAUGCAGCGGUUUCCCUGAAAUUCCAAUGCCUUUCUCUCCAGUGCAAAGAGAGCGAAAGUUUUCAGCAGUUUUAGGAGUAGUAUCUGCAAACAAUUUAAACACAACCCGACCAGCCUUCACAUUUCCAAUCAGUAUGUCAAAGAACACCUUAGGAUUCGACAUUUUCUGUGAGCAGAGAUCAUAUCCGGUCAGUAACACAGCGUCAAACAUUACCCGCAAAUGGCAGCAGGACAAUCCAAAUCUCAAUCCAAGGUGUGUAUAAAAUCACAUAGAUUUGCAAACAAGAACUAGAGUACAACAAAUCAUAUAUUCAUGUAUCAACAUUUUACCAAUUCAUCCACUUCAAGAGUGUUUUCCAAAAGCCCAUGCAGGAAGACAACCAUUUAUACAGACAAUACCACAACGAGAACAUGAAUUUUUCAUGUAUAGCAGGGGGUACAAAGACCUCGAAACAUUCUUUUUAUGUGCCAAAAAACAUUUUUUUUAUCAGAGUUUUUGUAAUACUAAUAAUUAUCUCUGGAACAAUCAACGACGCACCAUUAAAGAAAGAUUUUUAUGGAAGGUUAAUUAAAUUAAGGCAAAUCAAGAGCAUUUCUACACUAAUAAGACUAGUGUAACAUACAUUAUAGAACUUAACAGAGACGCAUACGGAUCAGCGACAUUAGUACAAGGUAAAUAGAACUAAAUUCACAGAUCAGCAAAACAUUUCACAGUAUCAUCUGAGGGGAAAAUCACUUCAAAAAUAGAAAAAGAAACAGCAAGAUCAGAUUUUUAACGGGAAAAAAAAGAGAAAAAGGGAAAAAGGAAGUGUAAAUCCCAUGAUGAAUCCUCUUGACAAGUGCUGAAUAGGCCGUUAAAGAGGAUACGACGACAUGGGAAAAUACAUUGAUAUUGCACAAUUUUUGAGCUCUACAAGCUUUGCAUAAAACCAACCGUAAAGCCUUCGAUUUGUGCGUUUCUAAUUUCUCUGUCGAAUGCAAGAGAGUAGAAGCAACGAAUGUGAAAUAGAGCAAGGUAUAAGAGACUUUGAUGUACCUUUAUGGCUGAGCGGUAGAAGCUGACCAGCACAAGAAGGGUUUAUGCAGAGGUUUAGUAUGUAUAGUAUAUAUACUGGAACCGAGAGCUUCGGUUGAGAAUUGCGGAUUUUAGGGUUUGAGGCUUUUAUGGUCCUUUGCACUUAGGACCCAACGUUUUGUGCGAUUCAACUUUACCUACUCAACUUCAGCUAUUUACAUUAUGCCCCAGUCCCCACAUCCCCCAUCGGAAAAAAAGAAGAAGAAGAAGUUCGGCCCAUGGUAUCUAAUCAAUCAGAGUGGGCAAACAACAUAGAAGAAACUCAAGAUGAAUUGAGAAAUCCUCACAAGUGGCCCAUAAGUGAUGAUAAGAGAGAGAGAGAGAGAGAGGAGGGGGGGAAGAGGGUUUUUGAGCGUGUCUAACUUCAAAAAAUGUUGUUCAGGGAUCAUGCUUACGUUUGUUAAACAUACAAAAUAUCGUUUUGGCCAAUUGGUUCUCAGUUGUCGGUUACCUCCCACCAAUUGAUUCUUUGUUCUUUCUUGUUAUUAUUGGCUGUUCUAAAGCAUUCUAUUUGGAGUUAUGGUAAUUAGCAGCAGCAGCAGCAGCACCGGAACUUUCUUCCAAUUCUUGUGAUCGACAGAACUGAAAGGUUGUGGGGCUGCUGACAUGAAUAUGGAAAUAUAUCAGGGAAAAAUCAAUUACCGGGAAAAAGAUCUCAAGGGCCCAGUAAACCAGUAAGAAUGCAUUUCAAACAAAAAGAUCUCACGAAAAAACGUUUUGCAGUACCAAAUAAAGACAACAAACCAUUACACUCUUGGAAUUAAAUUUAUAUGUCAACACGAAGUUUUCUCCUGUUACCAGUGAUGAAUGGCAACCAUCAAUCCAUGGGCCAUAAAAGUGGACAAAUGUUACAUCGCAAUCAAUCGGCAGAGCUAACAUAUGUGAUAUGGCCUCUUUUUUCUUAAGGUGUACCAGCAUCCAGUGAGCCAGGUCC